RNAcentral lists this ribosomal RNA (301 nucleotides) under uncultured bacterium. RNAcentral describes it as "partial 16S ribosomal RNA". It matches the Rfam family "Bacterial small subunit ribosomal RNA", at positions 509 to 807 of the family's 1533-position model. The record is from RNAcentral.
CAGCCGCCACGGGAAUACGUAGGUGGCAAGCGUUGUCCGGAAUUAUUGGGCGUAAAGGGCUCGCAGGCGGUUUCUUAAGUCUGAUGUGAAAGCCCCCGGCUCAACCGGGGAGGGUCAUUGGAAACUGGGAAACUUGAGUGCAGAAGAGGAGAGUGGAAUUCCACGUGUAGCGGUGAAAUGCGUAGAGAUGUGGAGGAACACCAGUGGCGAAGGCGACUCUCUGGUCUGUAACUGACGCUGAGGAGCGAAAGCGUGGGGAGCGAACAGGAUUAGAGACCCCUGUAGUCCCUGUCUCUUAUAC